Molecule: RNA transcript, 1835 nt
Organism: Gigantopelta aegis
Lineage: Eukaryota; Metazoa; Mollusca; Gastropoda; Neomphalida; Peltospiridae
Gene name: multiple epidermal growth factor-like domains protein 10
Exons: 8
Source: RefSeq, a predicted model, not a curated record
UUCAGUAGCCCGGAUAUAGCAACCUUGAUCUGCGAUGUCAUCGCUAGAUACAUCACACUCUUCAGACGUGCAGGAGACAGAAUAAUGGACUUCUGUGAAGUCGAAGUGCUUGUCUGUGAUGCUGGAACUUUCGGUGAUACCUGCAACAUGUUCUGUCACUGUCGAGAUGGACCGUGUAACUAUGUUACUGGAGAGUGUACUAGAAGAGGAUAUCAACAAAACUGGAGUGGAGAUACGAUAUGUCAACAAGGUACAUUUGGACCCGGAUGUCAGUCAAAAUGUAGUGAACGACACUGUAAAAGCAGACAGUUCAUCUUGUGAUGUACAGAAAGGAACCUGCCAACAUGGCUGUGAUCCAGGCUGGAAGGGUCCAAGUUGUAUCAUAGCAUGUGAUGAUGGAUCCUAUGGCGCUGGUUGUAAAUUCACUUGUUCUAAAAGACACUGCAAAGAGGGUACGAGGAGCUGUAACAAGGCCAAUGGUUCCUGUGAAGAUCUGUGUCAGGACGGUUGGACGGGAGUCGACUGUACAGGAUGUGAUGGGAAAUACGGUCAAGAUUGUUCAUUAUCGUGUGAUGUCAGACACUGUAAAGACAACAAGGCACCGUGUGAUUACAUGACCGGAUCGUGUGAAGGAGAAUGUCUGGCUGGUUGGCGAGGUGCUACGUGUACUGACAAUUGUGAUGCAGAUCAUUUUGGUGUGAAUUGUAAAUCAGUGUGCGCAGACAGACAUUGCAAGGGGGAUCAACUCUGUCAUCAUGAACUGGGAUAUUGCAGUGGUGGGUGUCUGUCAGGGUGGACAGGACUUACAUGUGUUGAAGGUACGUGCGAUGACCAACUAAAACAAUCGAGCAUGUUACAAGGGGGAUUCAGGAUACGAUCGAAAUUCCCAAGCUGUCACUGGCAACACUGACACCGGUAACAGUGAUUCCGCCAUCGUUUCCAUUUCCUUUGUGGCGGGUAUUUUGUUUGUACUGUUGGUCAUAGUCUUCAGUGUUUUAAUCUGGCACAUGAAAACUUACAGAGUGAAGUCAGACUCGUAUCAGCUAGAGAUAAAAAAAAAAACACAAACCCGUCAAAUCAACCUACAGACCCAAGUGCUGUAGAAUAUGAAAUCGUCGAUAGACAAGAUGGCGGCAACAACAGUCCUGGAGGUUCCAGUUCUCAACAAGUCGCCACCUCCCCAUCAACCAAUUAUGGCAAUUCACCGACGUCACAUGAUCAAAUGGAUUCCCAGCCGAGUCAUUGUGACAUUGUGGGUGGCUAUGUCAAUGAAAGCCAAACGAAUGAAUAUGAAAACUUGAUUUAGCCAACUCACCGCAGAAUGACUAUGUUAGAAUAACUGGUGUUUAGACAAACGGGAAUGAACUUUUCGUUGACGAAUGUUGAUACUUUUACCGUGUGGUUUUAAAAAGACAUUGUCAUUAUGGAAUUUGUUUCACGAUGACUGAACAUAGAGAUAGUAAUUUUGACUUAAAAGUUUGAAUCAAGGUCUCUGAAAUUGUAAACAAAUUAAGGAUGAAUAUCACGUUUUGCUUGUUUGUCUUUGCUAUCGUGAUAUUAGAUCACAAUUAUUGAAGAAAUAUUCUUAUGCUUGUACUUACUAUAACCAGUUUGUAAAUUCAUUAACAGUAAAAUCAAGGGCAAUUUGAUUAGAUCUAUGAAAAUUUAUUUAUGUUGCAAUGCACAGACGUAUCAACGUUACUCUCACAGUUCUUCUUUUCCUCCUCCACUACAACUACCACCACCACUACUACUACUACUUCUAUUACAACUACCAUUAAUACUACUGCUACUAUUACUACUACUACUACUACUACUACUACUACUACUACUAC